This 776-nucleotide ribosomal RNA is filed under the name uncultured Neocallimastigales. RNAcentral describes it as "partial large subunit ribosomal RNA". It matches the Rfam family "Eukaryotic large subunit ribosomal RNA", at positions 22 to 628 of the family's 3401-position model. The record is from RNAcentral. Lineage: Eukaryota; Fungi; Neocallimastigomycota; Neocallimastigomycetes; Neocallimastigales.
GUACACGCUGUGACUAGCAUAUCAAUAAGCGGAGGAAAAGAAACUAACAAGGAUUCCCCUAGUAACGGCGAGUGAAGCGGGAAGAGCUCAAAUUUGAAAUCUUAAAGGGUUUCCCUUUACGAAUUGUAGUUUAAAGAAGUGUUUUCUGUUGAGGUUUUGGUAAAAGUUCUUUGGAAUAGGACAUCAUAGAGGGUGAGAAUCCCGUAUUUGACCUUUACUUUCAACUUUGUGAUACACUUUCAAAGAGUCGGAUUGUUUGGGAAUGCAGUCCAAAAUGGGUGGUAAAUUUCAUCUAAAGCUAAAUAUUGGCGAGAGACCGAUAGCGAACAAGUACCGUGAGGGAAAGAUGAAAAGAACUUUGAAAAGAGAGUUAAACAGUACGUGAAAUUAUCAAAAGGGAAGCGUUUGACACCAGUGUUGUUUUUCUGAAAAUCAAUUAAAGAACUGUUUAUGCUAAGCUUGUUUAGACUUUAUCAGCUAACUGUUUAGUUUUGAGCUUUUCUUUCAAUGCACUUUCCAGUUAACAAGUCAACAUCAAUUUCUUUUGCUGUAAAAAAGCUUGAGGAAGGUGGCUUGAGAUUCGUCUUAAGUGUUUAUAGCCUCUUGCCUAUGCAGUCGGAGAGAUUGAGGUCUGCAGCGUAGAUCCUUCGGGGCUAAAUGCAUUUGUGCUAAGUUAUAGCAUUUUAUAGACAACUUGUUGACUAUGAUUUGUCUUGUAGCUUACUCGCUUAUGUUAUUUUACCUACGCUUAGGAUGUUGAGUCGUAGAGCACGCAG